This 199-nucleotide ribosomal RNA is filed under the name uncultured bacterium. RNAcentral describes it as "partial 16S ribosomal RNA". It matches the Rfam family "Bacterial small subunit ribosomal RNA", at positions 328 to 539 of the family's 1533-position model. The record is from RNAcentral.
ACGCUCGACACCUACGGGAGGCAGCAGUCGGGAAUAUUGCGCAAUGGAGGAAACUCUGACGCAGUGACGCCGCGUAUAGGAAGAAGGUUUUCGGAUUGUAAACUAUUGUCGUUAGGGAAGAAAAAAGACAGUACCUAAGGAGGAAGCUCCGGCUAACUACGUGCCGGCAGCCGAGGUAAUCUGAGCGGGCUGGCAAGGC